UAUUGCUCUAAUUUGAGGCUCAUUUAAAUGAGCUUAGUUGUCUGGUUUUCCCCUUUAGAGAAGACAGGAAUUUUUUUAAAGAAGAGAGAGGCUCUACGUAAGGCAGAUAUGCUGGCACCGCGAGGAGUGAUCACAACGUGCCAUUUUAGGAACAGACAGACAGAGGAUUUAAAACUGGCUGUGAGGUCAAGUCCAACAGAGCACAGUGUGGCGUCAGAGUGGAGUAAAAGAAGCUGAAGAGGUGUGUAGGCAGAAAAAGGGAAAAUCACUUUAUAAAAUAAAACCAAGACAUGACUCUGGAAUUAAAGCAAAAAUAAGCAUGAAAACCUGAACAAUGAAAAGCAGAACG
This is a non-coding RNA of Kogia breviceps (pygmy sperm whale), 349 nucleotides long. NCBI's taxonomy places the organism in Eukaryota, Metazoa, Chordata, Mammalia, Artiodactyla, Physeteridae. The record is from RefSeq and is a predicted model, not a curated record.